UGGGUUGUAGUUCAGUGGUAGAGCACUUGCCUAGCAUGUGUGAGGCACUGGGUUCGAUCCUCAGCACCACAU
Molecule: transfer RNA, 72 nt
Filed under: Ictidomys tridecemlineatus (thirteen-lined ground squirrel)
Lineage: Eukaryota; Metazoa; Chordata; Mammalia; Rodentia; Sciuridae
Description: Spermophilus tridecemlineatus (thirteen-lined ground squirrel) tRNA
Rfam family: tRNA
About the family: Transfer RNA (tRNA) molecules are approximately 80 nucleotides in length. Their secondary structure includes four short double-helical elements and three loops (D, anti-codon, and T loops). Further hydrogen bonds mediate the characteristic L-shaped molecular structure. tRNAs have two regions of fundamental functional importance: the anti-codon, which is responsible for specific mRNA codon recognition, and the 3' end, to which the tRNAs corresponding amino acid is attached (by aminoacyl-tRNA synthetases). tRNAs cope with the degeneracy of the genetic code in two manners: having more than one tRNA (with a specific anti-codon) for a particular amino acid; and 'wobble' base-pairing, i.e. permitting non-standard base-pairing at the 3rd anti-codon position.
Source: Rfam by way of RNAcentral